AUGUUGUUGGGUAGGGGAGCGUUCUGUAAGCCUGUGAAGGUGUGCUGCGAGGCAUGCUGGAGGUAUCAGAAGUGCGAAUGCUGACAUAAGUAACGAUAAUGCGGGUGAAAAACCCGCACGCCGGAAGACCAAGGGUUCCUGUCCAACGUUAAUCGGGGCAGGGUGAGUCGACCCCUAAGGCGAGGCAGAAAUGCGUAGUCGAUGGGAAACAGGUUAAUAUUCCUGUACUGGUGAUAAUUGCGAUGGGGGGACGGAGAAGGCUAGGCUGGCCGGGCGACGGUUGUCCCGGUUUAAGGAUGUAGGUGGGUGAAUUAGGCAAAUCCGGUUCGCUAUACACUGAGGUCUGAUGACGAGUCACUACGGUGGCGAAGUAGCUCAUGCCCCGCUUCCAGGAAAAGCCUCUAAGCUCUAGAUUAUCAUUAAUCGUACCCCAAACCGACACAGGUGGUCAGGUAGAGAAUACUCAGGCGCUUGAGAGAACUCGGGUGAAGGAACUAGGCAAAAUGGUGCCGUAACUUCGGGAGAAGGCACGCUGGCAUUAGGUGAAGUGGUUUACCCAUGGAGCUGAAGCCAGUCGCAGAUACCAGCUGGCUGCAACUGUUUAUUAAAAACACAGCACUGUGCAAACACGAAAGUGGACGUAUACGGUGUGACGCCUGCCCGGUGCUGGAAGGUUAAUUGAUGGGGUUAUCCGUAAGGAGAAGCUCUUGAUCGAAGCCCCAGUAAACGGCGGCCGUAACUAUAACGGUCCUAAGGUAGCGAAAUUCCUUGUCGGGUAAGUUCCGACCUGCACGAAUGGCGUAAUGAUGGCCAGGCUGUCUCCACCCGAGACUCAGUGAAAUUGAACUCGCUGUGAAGAUGCAGUGUACCCGCGGCAAGACGGAAAGACCCCGUGAACCUUUACUAUAGCUUGACACUGAACAUUGAGCCUUGAUGUGUAGGAUAGGUGGGAGGCUUUGAAGUGUGGACGCCAGUCUGCAUGGAGCCAACCUUGAAAUACCACCCUUUAAUGUUUGAUGUUCUAACGUUGCCCCAUAAUCUGGGGUGCGGACAGUGUCUGGUGGGUAGUUUGACUGGGGCGGUCUCCUCCCAAAGCGUAACGGAGGAGCACGAAGGUUGGCUAAGCAUGGUCGGACAUCAUGCGGUUAGUGCAAAGGCAUAAGCCAGCUUGACUGCGAGAGUGACGGCUCGAGCAGGUACGAAAGUAGGUCUUAGUGAUCCGGUGGUUCUGAAUGGAAGGGCCAUCGCUCAACGGAUAAAAGGUACUCCGGGGAUAACAGGCUGAUACCGCCCAAGAGUUCAUAUCGACGGCGGUGUUUGGCACCUCGAUGUCGGCUCAUCACAUCCUGGGGCUGAAGUAGGUCCCAAGGGUAUGGCUGUUCGCCAUUUAAAGUGGUACGCGAGCUGGGUUUAGAACGUCGUGAGACAGUUCGGUCCCUAUCUGCCGUGGGCGUUGGAAGAUUGAAAGGGGCUGCUCCUAGUACGAGAGGACCGGAGUGGACGCACCGCUGGUGUUCGGGUUGUCAUGCCAAUGGCACUGCCCGGUAGCUAAGUGCGGAAGAGAUAACCGCUGAAAGCAUCUAAGCGGGAAACUUGCCUUGAGAUGAGUCUUCCCUGACUCUUUAAGGGUCCUAAAGGAACGUUUAAGACGAAGACGUUGAUAGGCUGGGUGUGUAAGCGUAGCGAUACGUUGAGCUAACCAGUACUAAUGAACCGUGAGGCUUAACCUG
Molecule: ribosomal RNA, 1730 nt
Filed under: Providencia stuartii
Lineage: Bacteria; Pseudomonadati; Pseudomonadota; Gammaproteobacteria; Enterobacterales; Morganellaceae
Description: partial 23S ribosomal RNA
Rfam family: Bacterial large subunit ribosomal RNA
Source: RNAcentral